GACAGAGGGGGCAAGCGUUGUCCGGACUAACUGGGCGUAAAGCGCGCGCAGGCGGUCAGAGGCGUCGGUGCUGAAAGUGCGCCGCUUAACGGCGCGAUGCGUGCCGAUACGCUCUGACUUGAGGACGGGCGAGGGUGGUGGAAUUGCCGGUGUAGUGGUGAAAUGCGUAGAGAUCGGCAGGAACACCAGUGGGGAAGCCGGCCACCUAGCCCGCCCCUGACGCUGAAGCGCGACAGCGUGGGGAGCGAACUGG
This 253-nucleotide ribosomal RNA is filed under the name uncultured bacterium. RNAcentral describes it as "partial 16S ribosomal RNA". It matches the Rfam family "Bacterial small subunit ribosomal RNA", at positions 524 to 776 of the family's 1533-position model. The record is from RNAcentral.